Molecule: long non-coding RNA, 447 nt
Filed under: Elaeis guineensis (African oil palm)
Lineage: Eukaryota; Viridiplantae; Streptophyta; Magnoliopsida; Arecales; Arecaceae
Description: long non-coding RNA (EGUI_LNC000043)
Source: RNAcentral
GCCUCCAGUAGCCUAACAAACUCCUCCAACAACCUAAUAAAUUCUUUUAAUGGCCUAACAAAUUUUUUAACAACCUCAUCAGUCCUUUUAUAAAUAGAGGGCUAAAGGAUCCUCCAGAUAAAUUCUAACUCUCAAGUCUCAAGCUCAAACUAGAGGGAGAUUCUAUCGCUGGGACUCUAAUUUUCAUAAAGUCACAAACCCUCUAGUUCUACACAAAUCCUUCUGCUCUCCAUUCUAUUUUUUUCACCUUCUAUUCUUGAGGCUCAAACUGACUUAAGCAUUGGAGGGUCCAAGAUCGAAGGAUUCUCAUCGAUUUUUAACUUAUUUUAGAGGUUCCUUCGAAGGAGAUUCGAAUCUGAUCGCUACAACUACUCCAGCAUGACUUCAUUCGAUCUCUCUAUCUGAGAUUUUGAGCCUUACAAUAAUAUGAUCUUUUUCAGAACCAUA